Molecule: ribosomal RNA, 424 nt
Filed under: Verrucomicrobiota bacterium
Lineage: Bacteria; Pseudomonadati; Verrucomicrobiota
Description: Verrucomicrobia bacterium partial 16S ribosomal RNA
Rfam family: Bacterial small subunit ribosomal RNA
Source: RNAcentral
UGAGGAAUAUUGGUCAAUGGACGCGAGUCUGAACCAGCCAAGUAGCGUGCAGGAUGACGGCCCUAUGGGUUGUAAACUGCUUUUAUAUGGGGAUAAAGUGGGGAACGUGUUCCCUUUUGCAGGUACCAUAUGAAUAAGGACCGGCUAAUUCCGUGCCAGCAGCCGCGGUAAUACGGAAGGUUCGGGCGUUAUCCGGAUUUAUUGGGUUUAAAGGGAGCGUAGGCCGUUUGGUAAGCGUGUUGUGAAAUGUAGGAGCUCAACUUUUAGAUUGCAGCGCGAACUGGCAGACUUGAGUGCGCACAACGUAGGCGGAAUUCAUGGUGUAGCGGUGAAAUGCUUAGAUAUCAUGACGAACUCCGAUUGCGAAGGCAGCUUACGGGAGCGCAACUGACGCUAAAGCUCGAAGGUGCGGGUAUCGAACAGG